UGGUCUGGUUGGAAAACCAGGGACCACCCCAGGUGUGGGCGGGGAACCUGCCC
RNAcentral lists this non-coding RNA (53 nucleotides) under Nocardiopsis alba DSM 43377. RNAcentral's name for it is "DUF3800-XI RNA". It matches the Rfam family "DUF3800-XI RNA". From Rfam's summary of the family: Actinobacteria, Firmicutes, Proteobacteria, Spirochaetes (1 example). The record is from Rfam by way of RNAcentral. Lineage: Bacteria; Bacillati; Actinomycetota; Actinomycetes; Streptosporangiales; Nocardiopsidaceae.